UGCUGGUCGAGUAACAGACAGG
RNAcentral lists this non-coding RNA (22 nucleotides) under Arabidopsis thaliana (thale cress). The record is from RNAcentral. Lineage: Eukaryota; Viridiplantae; Streptophyta; Magnoliopsida; Brassicales; Brassicaceae.